AGAAAAAGAAGAAGAAGAAAUGGCGAGCGCUCCUCCGCCGUCGUCCAAAGUGGAUGCGGUGAAGCAGAUUCGCAGCCACGAGGUUGCAAUUGCAGAGCUCAAUGCUCUUUCACCGUCCCGGACAGUGUAUCAGAAGAAUGGGAACUUACUUUUCCGUACGACAAUCCAGAAAGCAUUGGCAUCUGAACAGAAACAACUAGAUUUGGCUAAAGCAAUCCUUGGAAAGUUGAAUACUUCUUGAUACGGCUUGAACUACAUUGAUGCUUAUGCAGCCUUCUAAGGAUACAUAGCGGGUGCAUUUCUUGUUGCAUAGAAUCCUGGUUUCUGAGAGUUGUGGAGACAUUUGCUUUCUAUUCUUUUCUCUAAGGCGCCUAGGCUGGAAAGCUCAUAAAGAUAAUUUGUAUGCUUUUCAUCCCAAUUAUACAUUACAAAGGAAUUAAAUUAUAAGAAUGUUUCUGAAUUC
Molecule: RNA transcript, 463 nt
Organism: Fragaria vesca subsp. vesca
Lineage: Eukaryota; Viridiplantae; Streptophyta; Magnoliopsida; Rosales; Rosaceae
Exons: 4
Source: RefSeq, a predicted model, not a curated record